Molecule: long non-coding RNA, 209 nt
Filed under: Gallus gallus (chicken)
Lineage: Eukaryota; Metazoa; Chordata; Aves; Galliformes; Phasianidae
Source: RNAcentral
AGUUCUACGUUUUCUUUUAGAAAUCAGGCAUUCGACAGCUUCCUUUGUGUCAAAGAUCGUCAACACAGAAGGAAGAGAAAGAGGAAGUAUUUAGGCAGCAAAGUCCCAGUUUGAUACAAGCCAUGGGCAGCAGUCAUGACUGCUACAUUUGGAGUCACCUUCGCAAGAGUCGUAAGACUGCAUACAAAAGGGAGAUAGGAUUGAAAUGC